CCUACGGGCGGCAGCAGUAGGGAAUCUUUCACAAUGGGCGAAAGCCUGAUGGAGCAACGCCGCGUGCAGGAUGAAGGCCUUCGGGUUGUAAACUGCUUUUAUAAGCGAGAAAUAUGAUGGUAACUUAUGAAUAAGGAUCGGCUAACUACGUGCCAGCAGCCGCGGUCAUACGUAGGAUCCGAGCAUUAUCCGGAGUGACUGGGUGUAAAGAGUUGCGUAGGUGGGAUAAUAAGUAGCUAGUGAAAUCUGGUGGCUCAACCAUUCAGACUAUUAGCUAAACUGUUAAGCUCGAGAACGUUAGGGGUAAGUGGAAUUUCUAGUGUAGGAGUGAAAUCCGUAGAUAUUAGGAAGAACACCGAUAGCGUAGGCAGGUUACUGGGACGGUACUGACACUAAGGCACGAAAGCGUAGGGAGCAAACGGGAUUAGAUACCCGUGUAGUC
This 442-nucleotide ribosomal RNA is filed under the name uncultured bacterium. RNAcentral describes it as "partial 16S ribosomal RNA". It matches the Rfam family "Bacterial small subunit ribosomal RNA", at positions 338 to 795 of the family's 1533-position model. The record is from RNAcentral.